RNAcentral lists this small nuclear RNA (107 nucleotides) under Cercocebus atys (sooty mangabey). Lineage: Eukaryota; Metazoa; Chordata; Mammalia; Primates; Cercopithecidae. The record is from RNAcentral.
GUGCUAGUUUCAGCAGCACAUAUACUAAAAUUGGAAUGAUGCAGAGAACAUUAGCAUGUCCCCUGCAUAAGGAUGACAUGCAAUUUCAUGAAGUGUUUCAUAUUUUA